RNAcentral lists this ribosomal RNA (484 nucleotides) under uncultured bacterium. Its description in RNAcentral is "partial 16S ribosomal RNA". It matches the Rfam family "Bacterial small subunit ribosomal RNA", at positions 30 to 507 of the family's 1533-position model. The record is from RNAcentral.
AUUGAACGCUGGCGGCAGGCCUAACACAUGCGAGUCGAGCGGAUGAAGGGAGCUUGCUCCUGGAUUCAGCGGCGGACGGGUGAGUAAUGCCUAGGAAUCUGCCUGGUAGUGGGGGAUAACGUCCGGAAACGGGCGCUAAUACCGCAUACGUCCUGAGGGAGAAAGUGGGGGAUCUUCGGACCUCACGCUAUCAGAUGAGCCUAGGUCGGAUUAGCUAGUUGGUGGGGUAAAGGCCUACCAAGGCGACGAUCCGUAACUGGUCUGAGAGGAUGAUCAGUCACACUGGAACUGAGACACGGUCCAGACUCCUACGGGAGGCAGCAGUGGGGAAUAUCGGACAAUGGGCGAAAGCCUGAUCCAGCCAUGCCGCGUGUGUGAAGAAGGUCUUCGGAUUGUAAAGCACUUUAAGUUGGGAGGAAGGGCAGUAAGUUAAUACCUUGCUGUUUUGACGUUACCAACAGAAUAAGCACCGGCUAACUUCGUG